CCUUGCUAUCAUAUGCAAAGAGUGUGUGUCUACAAGGGUCUCAUUGCACAUGAUAGUGGGGCU
RNAcentral lists this microRNA precursor (63 nucleotides) under Ptychodera flava. RNAcentral describes it as "Pfl-Mir-4818-P6_pre stem-loop". The record is from RNAcentral. Lineage: Eukaryota; Metazoa; Hemichordata; Enteropneusta; Ptychoderidae.